CAGCAACUCUCCAGGACUGCCAGUAACUCUCCAGUAAUGCCAGCAACUCUCCAGGUCUGCCAGCAACUCUCCAGGUCUGCCAGUAACUCUCUAGUAAUGCAAGUAACUCUCCAGUAAUGCCAGUAACUCUCCAGUAAUGACAGCAACUCUCCAGGACUGCCAGUAACUCUCCAGUAAUGCCAGCAACUCUCCAGGACUGCCAGUAACUCUCCAGUAAUGACAGCAACUCUCCAGGACUGCCAGUAACUCUCCAGUAAUGACAGCAACUCUCCAGGACUGCCAGUAACUCUCCAGUAAUGCCAGCAACUCUCCAGUAAUGACAGCAACUCUCCAGGACUGCCAGUAACUGUCCAGUAAUGACAGCAACUCUCCAGGACUGCCAGUAACUGUCCAGUAAUGACAGCAACUCUCCAGGACUGCC
Long non-coding RNA from Xyrauchen texanus (razorback sucker), 421 nucleotides. RefSeq lists it as uncharacterized. Lineage: Eukaryota; Metazoa; Chordata; Actinopteri; Cypriniformes; Catostomidae. The transcript has 4 exons. The record is from RefSeq and is a predicted model, not a curated record.